This 764-nucleotide ribosomal RNA is filed under the name Cetraspora pellucida. RNAcentral describes it as "SSU rRNA". It matches the Rfam family "Eukaryotic small subunit ribosomal RNA", at positions 346 to 1116 of the family's 1831-position model. Lineage: Eukaryota; Fungi; Glomeromycota; Glomeromycetes; Diversisporales; Gigasporaceae. The record is from RNAcentral.
GGCAUGGCUACGGGUACGGGGAUUAGGGUUCGAUUCCGGAGAGGGAGCCUGAGAAACGGCUACCACAUCCAAGGAAGGCAGCAGGCGCGCAAAUUACCCAAUCCCGACACGGGGAGGUAGUGACAAUAAAUAACAAUACAGGGCUCUUUUGGGUCUUGUAAUUGGAAUGAGUACAAUUUAAAUCCCUUAACGAGGAACAAUUGGAGGGCAAGUCUGGUGCCAGCAGCCGCGGUAAUUCCAGCUCCAAUAGCGUAUAUUAAAGUUGUUGCAGUUAAAAAGCUCGUAGUUGAAUUUCGGGGUUCUACCGUUGGUCGGGCUUUGUCUGUACUGGCGUGUAGAAUUUCUACCUUCUGGGGAACCAUUAUGUUAUUAAUUUAGCGUAGUGGGAAACCAGGACCUUUACCUUGAAAAAAUUAGAGUGUUCAAAGCAGGCUUAUGUCUGAAUACAUUAGCAUGGAAUAAUAGAAUAGGACGGUGGUCCUGUUUUGUUGGUUUCUGAAUCACCGUAAUGAUUAAUAGGGAUAGUUGGGGGCAUUAGUAUUCAAUUGUCAGAGGUGAAAUUCUUGGAUUUAUUGAAGACUAACUUCUGCGAAAGCAUUUGCCAAGGAUGUUUUCAUUAAUCAAGAACGAAAGUUAGGGGAUCGAAGACGAUCAGAUACCGUCGUAGUCUUAACCAUAAACUAUGCCGACUAGGGAUCGGACGAUGUUAAUUUUUCUUGACUCGUUCGGCGCCUUACGGGAAACCAAAUUUUUGUGGGUUUCCA